RNAcentral lists this ribosomal RNA (274 nucleotides) under uncultured bacterium. Its description in RNAcentral is "partial 16S ribosomal RNA". It matches the Rfam family "Bacterial small subunit ribosomal RNA", at positions 523 to 796 of the family's 1533-position model. The record is from RNAcentral.
AUACAGAGGGUGCGAGCGUUAAUCGGAAUUACUGGGCGUAAAGCGCGCGUAGGCGGUCUAUUAAGUCAGAUGUGAAAUCCCAGGGCUCAACCUUGGAACUGCAUCUGAUACUGGUAGACUAGAGUUUUGGGGAGGGAAGUAGAAUUUCAGGUGUAGCGGUGAAAUGCAUAGAGAUCUGAAGGAAUACCAGUGGCGAAGGCGACUUCCUGGCCAAAAACUGACGCUGAGGUGCGAAAGCGUGGGUAGCAAACAGGAUUAGAAACCCUAGUAGUCC